RNAcentral lists this long non-coding RNA (851 nucleotides) under Homo sapiens (human). RNAcentral's name for it is "HSALNT0294021". The record is from RNAcentral. Lineage: Eukaryota; Metazoa; Chordata; Mammalia; Primates; Hominidae.
AUUUUUGGAAAAAAAUUAAAGCCCCAGAAAAGAACCAAAUAUUUCUCAUUUUUACUUUUCCCUUUGAUUCAUGAAAAACAUUUUUCAAAAAGACCAAAAGCACCACAGCACAAGGACUUCCCUUGAAUGCAAAGAACAGAUCUGGAGAAGGCACUCUAGAGAAGAUGUAGACAUUUUUUGACAAGGCUCCUCCCAAGAAGCCAAGGUGUCAAGGAACGCCUCAGGUGAGUUGAGAUGGCGAGGGUUGCCGCUAGCAGCUCCACAGGUCACACGAGGGCAGGACUGGAGUGCUGCUGAGCACCAGGCGAGGAUCGCCCACAAAUGAGGGACACAACCAAGGACAAAGUUGACAAGAUUCAAAAGUGGUUUGGGUAAAAGAGACUCAAUCCUAGAGGGGCAUUUGAUUCCAAAAGGGAAGAAGACGUACUUCAUCUGGAACAUCGUGAAGUCACAGAAGAACUUCACAAGUGUUCCGAUCGGAAGGGAGCCCUUUGAGUAAGUGAAAUGAAGCGUGAAUAACUGCCUAAUUAGUGGACAUGAAAACUGGACAGUCUCCAAAGUCAUCAGAGAUGACCACGCUUGCCAGGCAACUUACUAGACUAAGGGCACACAAUGAGCCUCACGUAAGCAUCAGGUACUACAUUUAGGAAGAGAGAUGGUGUGAGGAUGCAGUGGCCAGAAGAGGCAGCCCAGGGAAGAUCUGAGGUGAACCCUCUGGUUGGAAAGCCUUGGCAAAUUGGAGGAAUGAAAAGAAAAAAGAGUAAAUCUACAACAAGGAUCAGCAAACUCCAGUCUACAGGCCAAAUCCAGCCUGCUGCCUGUUUAUGUCAAUAAAGUUUUAUUGGAACAUA